Molecule: ribosomal RNA, 433 nt
Filed under: uncultured bacterium
Lineage: Bacteria
Description: partial 16S ribosomal RNA
Rfam family: Bacterial small subunit ribosomal RNA
Source: RNAcentral
AACGAACGCUGGCGGCAUGCCUAACACAUGCAAGUCGAACGAAGGCUUCGGCCUUAGUGGCGCACGGGUGCGUAACGCGUGGGAAUCUGCCCUUUGGUUCGGAAUAACAGCUGGAAACGGCUGCUAAUACCGGAUGAUGACGAAAGUCCAAAGAUUUAUCGCCAGAGGAUGAGCCCGCGUUGGAUUAGGUAGUUGGUGGGGUAAAGGCCUACCAAGCCGACGAUCCAUAGCUGGUCUGAGAGGAUGAUCAGCCACACUGGGACUGAGACACGGCCCAGACUCCUACGGGAGGCAGCAGUGGGGAAUAUUGGACAAUGGGCGCAAGCCUGAUCCAGCAAUGCCGCGUGAGUGAUGAAGGCCCUAGGGUUGUAAAGCUCUUUUACCCGGGAAGAUAAUGACUGUACCGUGAGAAUAAGCCCCGGCUAACUCCGUG